GGGCCCCGCGGGGCCCGUCCGCUCCUCCAGCCGCUGCCUCCCGGGCGGCGCUUGCCGGCGCGGCGGCAAAGACUUCACAUCCCUGUUAAAGGCAUCCCAUUUUUAUUUCUUUUGUAAAGAGUGGAAACUUUUGGCAGGAGAAUUAUCAACCACGUGACUCCUUUAGGUGUAAUAUUUGCUUAAGAUGUGAUAUACACCAAUGAAUGGUGCGAAGAACCAUGGUAGGUACUAAGGACACAAAGAUGAAAAUGAUUCUCCAAAUUGAUCAGCCUGGACGUUGUUUCCCUCUGAAAUCAAUAGAUUAAUCAUUUUUUAAAUUUCUUGAGGCUCACGUUUGGAGGUCAACUGCAGUGAGGUCUCUAUACCACAGAGUGUUGUUGGCGUCUCACAUGGCCAUUCAUCAGCUCAAUACAAACAAGUCUUCACGGAGGUGGAGUUUCCUCCUCACCUGUUGCUAAACCAGGCAGCGUGGAUUGGCAUAUUCACUGACUUCAUGGCACGAAGGCCUACAAAAGCGGAACAACUUUUCACCAGUGCAAAAAUGUUCCAAAAGAUACUCUCUCUGUCCAAUACACUUGUAAGUGCAUUCUAGAAUAUAAAAAAUAGAGAGAGAUAAAUGUUCUGUUGAAAGAUAAUCUCCCAAAAUAUAAGUUUUUAUGUAAGACAGUGCUCUCAAGUCAUAAAUGGUAAAUUCUUCUGAAAGUCACAGAGGAAAUUACUCUUAAGACCUCUGUCUUGUUAAGUUAUCAUAGUAAUAAAAUCUCAACCUACUAAGGUAACUUUCUAAACAUGUCAGAGCUUGAAAGUCUCUUGUAAACCUCUAAAUACAAAGAAAACCUAAGUUUAUUUAUUGAAGUUCAAGCUGUAGAAAUCUGACAGCUUUGAGGACUUUAAAAGAUACUGAAUCAACUGCUAUAAAAGGAAAACAGUCUUGACAAUUUUAAUUCAUAUAGUAUUACAACUGAAGAAACUAUUUGAUGAUUUAUGAAGGGCACAUUUGCCGGCUGUGUUUUGGAGUUUUUGCAUGAAAAGUGAAUUUGUACUCAGACUGUUUGCAUCUUCAAAGACCCAUGAGCUUGGCUGUAGGGGCAUGCAACAUUAGGUUUGGAAAUAUAUGAAAUAAAUAUUGCUAUGCCUUAAGAAUGUGA
Molecule: long non-coding RNA, 1148 nt
Organism: Homo sapiens (human)
Lineage: Eukaryota; Metazoa; Chordata; Mammalia; Primates; Hominidae
Product: long intergenic non-protein coding RNA 393
Source: Ensembl